GCGAAAGUGGCGGAAUUGGGAUACGCGCUGGACUUAGGAUCCAGUCCCGUUUCGGGUUGGGGGUUCGAAUCCCCCCUUUCGCA
Molecule: transfer RNA, 83 nt
Filed under: candidate division Zixibacteria bacterium SM23_73_2
Lineage: Bacteria; Pseudomonadati; Candidatus Zixiibacteriota
Also listed under: 1 other name
Description: tRNA-Leu
Rfam family: tRNA
About the family: Transfer RNA (tRNA) molecules are approximately 80 nucleotides in length. Their secondary structure includes four short double-helical elements and three loops (D, anti-codon, and T loops).
Source: RNAcentral